GCCGCCAUGGCUUAGUGGUACAGCGUCUCACUCGUAAGCGUGAUCAUGAGAAGAUCGGCGGUUCGAUUCCGCCUGGUGGCA
This is a non-coding RNA of Piedraia hortae CBS 480.64, 81 nucleotides long. The record is from the annotation of a GenBank genome assembly. NCBI's taxonomy places the organism in Eukaryota, Fungi, Ascomycota, Dothideomycetes, Capnodiales, Piedraiaceae.